GUUUCAAUCAAGCUUAAAUCAAGAGUCCAAAUUUUGUGGGACUCUUCCUAGCCGCCGACCAGCCUUCUUUCUCCUGUGCAAACAAAUAUUUGUGUAAUAUUUUUUCUACCAAUCUAAGUUGUGUCAUCUCCUCUCUGAGUCCUUUAGUUGUGAAUUAAAUUUGGUUUGAAAAAAAAUUCAAAUUUGAUUUGAAUUUGCAAUAAAAUCAAGGGCUGUUUGAAGCUGAAUCAGAUUAUCCAAACUCUACAUGGGAUGCCACCUUUAAGAAGGAUGAGUUUUUGUGUGCCAAAACACUUCAGAUUUGGCAUGAGAAAAUCUCAGAGAAGGCAUGAGAGAUCUGAG
RNAcentral lists this long non-coding RNA (342 nucleotides) under Elaeis guineensis (African oil palm). RNAcentral's name for it is "long non-coding RNA (EGUI_LNC059820)". Lineage: Eukaryota; Viridiplantae; Streptophyta; Magnoliopsida; Arecales; Arecaceae. The record is from RNAcentral.